Molecule: unclassified non-coding RNA, 469 nt
Filed under: Hevea brasiliensis (rubber tree)
Lineage: Eukaryota; Viridiplantae; Streptophyta; Magnoliopsida; Malpighiales; Euphorbiaceae
Source: RNAcentral
CCUACCCUCUCCCCCACGGGGAGAGGGUUUCAGCGCGGCGCCCCGUCUUUGCUGUCGCAAACUUCAAUUCGAUCCACUAUUGAGCGACAANNNNNNNNNNAAACGUACAGACAUCUCGACGAUCCUCAUCAUCGGCGCUGGCCCCAUCGUGAUCGGCCAGGCCUGCGAAUUCGAUUAUUCCGGCACCCAGGCGGUCAAGANNNNNNNNGAGGGCUACCGGAUCGUCCUGGUCAACUCCAAUCCGGCCACCAUCAUGACGGACCCGGAACUGGCGGAUGCGACCUAUAUCGAGCCGAUCACGCCGGAAAUCGUCGCCAAGAUCAUCGAGAAGGAACGCCAUGUCCUUCCCGGCGGCUUCGCGCUGCUGCCGACCAUGGGCGGCCAGACCGCGCUGAACUGCGCGCUGUCGCUGCGCCGUCAGGGCACGCUGGAGAAAUUCGAUGUCGAGAUGAUCGGCGCCACCGCCGAC